Molecule: non-coding RNA, 85 nt
Filed under: Paenibacillus sp.
Lineage: Bacteria; Bacillati; Bacillota; Bacilli; Caryophanales; Paenibacillaceae
Description: c-di-GMP sequence
Rfam family: c-di-GMP-I riboswitch aptamer
About the family: GEMM was predicted in a large-scale screen for bacterial structured RNA regulatory elements. Genes associated with GEMM are involved in a diverse array of functions, including chemotaxis regulation, signal transduction, secretion and chitin.
Source: RNAcentral
GUACGAUAAAGGCAAAGCCAUUGAAAGAUGGCGACGCAAAGCUAGAGGGGCUUAUCUGUGGACAGACUGCCAGCCAGCUACCGAA